AGUGUUCCAAGAAAGUGAAAAAUUGAAAUUUCGAAAAACCCUCCCAGCGUUACCUGGGGAAAACUGUUACCUAACGAAUGAACUUUGAUUUUUUGAUUUCAGAUGAUCCAGCACCAAGUUAUGAGCAAUUCUACUUUUUUCCGAGGCACGUCCGAAUAAUUACUGCCAUUGCCGUAUUUUUUAAUAUUUCUCCGUGAAAAUUUUAUACAAUAUUCUUCGAAUGUCAUACUUUAAUGUACUAUUGGUUUUAAUAAAAAGAUUUUAACUGUGUCGUCACAAAUAAUUCACGAAAACAUGCCUUAUUUUUGUACGAAUUAACCUUAGCCCCCCCCCUUAAUACGAGUUUUGCUUAUGGAAUUAAGUUGUAGAAAAUAGCGGCAGUAAUUGAUCAAUGCGAGUAUCGAAAAUUGAAUUUCAAUUUCGAUGCUCUCGGAUUCAUUAAUUAUUUAAAUUUUUUAACAAUUAAUUUUAAUAUAAAAUAAACUAGAUCUCUAUCCUUUUCUAUUGCUUAAGAUAUUUUUAUUCCUUUUUAUUUCAACCGUAUUAUUAUUUUCAACAUAUUACUUCAAUUUUCAACGUUUAUCUUAAUUAUUCGCGUAUAAUUAAUAUUAUGAAAUCGGUUCAUUCAGUUUCUUUUAUAUCGUUCCAAAACGGGUAACUCAAGCUUUUCGAAUUUCUCAAAGCUAU
Long non-coding RNA from Bombus impatiens (common eastern bumble bee), 687 nucleotides. RefSeq lists it as uncharacterized. NCBI's taxonomy places the organism in Eukaryota, Metazoa, Arthropoda, Insecta, Hymenoptera, Apidae. The transcript has 2 exons. The record is from RefSeq and is a predicted model, not a curated record.